This 53-nucleotide non-coding RNA is filed under the name Trypanosoma brucei brucei. Lineage: Eukaryota; Euglenozoa; Kinetoplastea; Trypanosomatida; Trypanosomatidae. The record is from RNAcentral.
AAAUAAACGAUUAGAUGUAUCACGUAUAGAAUAAAGAUGAUGAUUGUAAUUAU